RNAcentral lists this ribosomal RNA (434 nucleotides) under uncultured Lachnospiraceae bacterium. RNAcentral describes it as "partial 16S ribosomal RNA". It matches the Rfam family "Bacterial small subunit ribosomal RNA", at positions 341 to 792 of the family's 1533-position model. Lineage: Bacteria; Bacillati; Bacillota; Clostridia; Lachnospirales; Lachnospiraceae. The record is from RNAcentral.
ACGGAAGGCAGCAGUGGGGAAUAUUGCACAAUGGGCGAAAGCCUGAUGCAGCGACGCCGCGUGAGUGAAGAAGUAUCUCGGUAUGUAAAGCUCUAUCAGCAGGGAAGAAAAUGACGGUACCUGACUAAGAAGCCCCGGCUAACUACGUGCCAGCAGCCGCGGUAAUACGUAGGGGGCAAGCGUUAUCCGGAUUUACUGGGUGUAAAGGGAGCGUAGACGGUUUGGCAAGUCUGAAGUGAAAUGCGGGGGCUCAACUCCUGAACUGCUUUGGAAACUGGCGAACUAGAGUGCAGGAGAGGUAAGUGGAAUUCCUAGUGUAGCGGUGAAAUGCGUAGAUAUUAGGAGGAACACCAGUGGCGAAGGCGGCUUACUGGACUGUAACUGACGUUGAGGCUCGAAAGCGUGGGGAGCAAACAGGAUUAGAUACCCUGGUA